This 550-nucleotide ribosomal RNA is filed under the name uncultured bacterium. RNAcentral's name for it is "partial 16S ribosomal RNA". It matches the Rfam family "Bacterial small subunit ribosomal RNA", at positions 355 to 896 of the family's 1533-position model. The record is from RNAcentral.
UAGGGAAUCUUCCACAAUGGACGCAAGUCUGAUGGAGCAACGCCGCGUGAGUGAAGAAGGUUUUCGGACCGUAAAGCUCUGUUGUUGGUGAAGAAGGAUAGAGGUAGUAACUGGCCUUUAUUUGACGGUAAUCAACCAGAAAGUCACGGCUAACUACGUGCCAGCAGCCGCGGUAAUACGUAGGUGGCAAGCGUUGUCCGGAUUUAUUGGGCGUAAAGCGAGCGCAGGCGGAAGAAUAAGUCUGAUGUGAAAGCCCUCGGCUUAACCGAGGAAUUGCAUCGGAAACUGUUUUCUUGAGUGCAGAAGAGGAGAGUAGAACUCCAUGUGUAGCGGUGGAAUGCGUAGAUAUAUGGAAGAAUACCAGUGGCGAAGGCGGCUCUCUGGUCUGCAACUGACGCUGAGGCUCGGAAGCAUGGGUAGCGAACAGGAUUAGAUACCCUGGUAGUCCAUGCCGUAAACGAUGAGUGCUAAGUGUUGGGAGGCUUCCGCCUCUCAGUGCUGCAGCUAACGCAUUAAGCACUCCGCCUGGGGGAGUACGACCGCAAGGUUG